CGGGAAGGGAUAAUUGAAACUGAAGCGGCCAGAGAGCGGACAAGUAGCCAUCGAAGGCGGAUGUGGAAGGCCAGACGUCACCAACGGCGACGGAGUCCUUCUGCGUGCGCGCCAGGACCCUCUUGUAGGAUUGAAUGUACAAGAACAGCAACAGAUCCUGCAAGUCGACGGCCGUGGGUUGCUCGGGCUCUGUAGAGACUCCGAGAUCGCCGCCGGAGGAGAGCUCAACAGGCUUCUGCUUCACCGAAAUUAUUCUCUGC
Molecule: long non-coding RNA, 260 nt
Filed under: Arachis ipaensis
Lineage: Eukaryota; Viridiplantae; Streptophyta; Magnoliopsida; Fabales; Fabaceae
Description: long non-coding RNA (AIPA_LNC001095)
Source: RNAcentral